This 301-nucleotide ribosomal RNA is filed under the name uncultured bacterium. RNAcentral describes it as "partial 16S ribosomal RNA". It matches the Rfam family "Bacterial small subunit ribosomal RNA", at positions 509 to 809 of the family's 1533-position model. The record is from RNAcentral.
CAGCAGCCGCGGUAAUACGUAGGUGGCAAGCGUUGUCCGGAAUUAUUGGGCGUAAAGCGCGCGCAGGCGGAUCAGUCAGUCUGUCUUAAAAGUUCGGGGCUUAACCCCGUGAUGGGAUGGAAACUGCUGAUCUAGAGUAUCGGAGAGGAAAGUGGAAUUCCUAGUGUAGCGGUGAAAUGCGUAGACAUUAGGAAGAACACCAGUGGCGAAGGCGACUUUCUGGACGAAAACUGACGCUGAGGCGCGAAAGCCAGGGGAGCGAACGGGAUUAGAUACCCGGGUAGUCCCUGUCUCUUAUACA